UAAAAGCGCGUGUAUAUUGUAGAUCGCUAUGUGUUAUACAGAGAGAAAGGAAAAAAAUUAACUUGUACGUGUAUGUGAGCGUAUAGAGAGAAUGUGAAAGAGAAAGAGAGAGAAAAAGCAGAGAAGGAAAUGAAAUGAGCGAGGGAGAGCUGCGCGCGUGUGCGUGUGUAUGCGUAUAUUUGAAUGUAAUGUGCGUAAAUGCGUAGAUAUUGAUGCGCGUCCGUUGUCUUCCACGGUUACGUCAUUCCACGCACAAAAAGACGUGCUCGCGAUUUUGUAUAUGCGAGUACCGCGAGAAACUAGAUUGUUAAAUUAGGUUACAACUGACGCGCUGUAUCUCACACGCGUCGAUUCUUCUCCUUUUACAAUUGUAAAAUUAAUGUGUAUUUUUGAUGGACCAAGUUAUACAAGUACGCAUUCGUCAAUUACUCUUUUUAUAAUACGGACUUAACAGAAGUGAUGUGUCGAGGGACCAAGCUGCAACGUCACAAGCCAGCGAUUUUUCUUUGUUUGUUUUUUUUUUUUUUCUUUUAUUUUUGAUUAUAUAUAAGACUGUACCAUGAAUCGACGAUUGGUAUUGUAAUAUUGCGGCGAUGCUCUAACGCGACGCGUUUUCCAACAUUUACCGCAUGAGGAAUGAUGCCUAAAUUAUUACGCACGAUGUAAACGACGUGAAAUGCAGUUGCUUUUACUUCACUCGUCCGUCGACAUCACGCAGGUUUUCAAGUGAUAGUUUAGAAUAUUUCAGUACGUAGAGGUAAAACGAGAUAAAAGUGAAGGGAAAGGGCGCGAUCAUUUGCCAUAUUCGUAUAUUCCACGCGUAAAUAUAAAUUCCGUGCUCCUCCAACGCUUACCUUUAAUAUCCCGCUGAUGUGUGUUCACACGUGGAAUACGUAAUAUCGCAUUACUAUCCGAGCCGAGUGUGCCGACUCGCUUGUAUUAUUCGACAAAGAUCGAAACGUGACGACCCGCGGUAGUACCGCCUGUAGUCAGCGAUACUUUCUGCUUCGUAAGAACGUGAAAAGUUAACAGCCGGUUGAUUCGCACCUCGAGACGAUCGUCCGAGGUAUUUUAUAUCAAGAUAACACGCAACCGAGAUAAUUGAGAAUUGAGAACGCUUUAGAAUGUUAGAAUAUUAAUGCUCGUAUGUCUAAAGCGCCCGCGGCCUAUUCAGAAAACUGAUACGAUCGGUCUAAACCUCCUUUUUGGCAAAACGUUUUCUUAUCUCAAUCUUGUACCGAACACAAUGCUACAGAAAAAAAACGACACACGUUAUUAUUUCUCGAUAUCUCCUUAUCGGUAUAUACAUAACGGUUAGAUCAGGAUUUCCUUGAAACGGAAAUGAAAUCCACAAAUGUAGUUUACAGUUUAAAAGAAGAAAUUCCUGGAAGCCGCGUUAUUCAACCUUCAGCGUGGAUAUGGGUGCCACGUAAUACGGAAAUUUCGACAACUUAUUGUAAUGCGCGACGACGGUUCCGACGAUUUUGAAUACAUAAAAAUGCAAAUUUUUUUGGAGGCGGAAAAACGUGCGUGGAACAUACGAGUGGAUUAUAGCGUAUAAGAAGUUACUUAGCGAGAAGAAGAAUGCGACGCGACGUUAUGUUAUUCGCUUUUUUGCCAUCUAGAACAUUUCCACGAGAGAGAUCUAUGCUCAAAGUAAGACUGCCAGGUAAUCGAAACACUCCAUGUCGCCGUGAUUUUGUAUCGCCUUUAGAUGUAUACGCAAGGUAGAAUUAUCAUUAACGGCGAACACGACGUUGUCCGCGUAUUGUAUAUCGCGUUAUUCUCUCCGAGGCUUCGAUCUAUUAAUCAUCCGUUGGAGAACUGUAGGACUUUCGCAUAAUAUUAUUAUAUAUAUAUAUCUCUCUCUCUUUUUCGUCAGUACGCGAAACUUCUUCCCUUCUUCUGCCUCGCUUUAUUUUCGCUUCUUCAGCAGCAGUAACAAUUGCCUUAGCCAGCAUUGCCUUCAUUGUUUCCUAGAAAAUUAACCGCGACACCCGCGCCGUAUGCGUUCAUCUCUAACAAGUGCCUAUCUAGUAUUAUAAGUGUAAAAUGCAUUCCUUUCUGUACAACUAAUCGACAUUCCAGUAAAGACUGCGGACGUUUUUUUGAACGAAAAAAAAAAAAAAAAAAGAAAAUAAAAUCAAUACUUUUCUACUUGCACCUUUUUCUACUUCAUGAAAAUUCUCAACACUCUAGGCGUUUCUUAAUAGAGACUAAAUUCUAGGAAGGGGGGGGGGGGGGAGAAAGAAGAAUGUCAUUUCCAUGAAAAACAUGUCAUUCCUGCGAAAGUGCGUCAACACUCUCGUGAUCAUUAACUUGCUUAAAGACAUCGAAAAUGUGCCAAAACUGAGCUAGCGGUGCCUUCGUUAAUCUAGAGUUGCAGUUGCGCACGAUGGAGAGGCAUCCGCACAUGUUCGACUCGAGAGAUAUAAAUUGUAACGGAAUCAUACGCCGUAUAACUGAUCAAAAGUGCCUGCAUCCUGCCAAGCGUAGAUAAGAACUCUCGCUUCCUUUAGUUCGUGAUUUUUAUUACACGGCGCUUCCAGCGAUAGGCGCAUCGUUACAUAGGAGAUUAGCCGUGCUGUCAGUAAUACAUACGCUCCGAUUUCCAUUCGGAAUCUCUCCAGAAGAGAGGGAAGAAAGACGUCCGAGCACGUGUUCUACUGCGCCUACUGCAACAGUGAUAAGAUGAAAAAGAUAUACAUAUAUUAUAUAUAAAUAUAUAUAGGAUAAAUAUAUAGUAACUCUCUGGAAAGGGAGGGAUAUACGAAGUAUAUAUAUAAAUGAAUGGUAUGGUACAACAUUCGUUUGAAUGUUUCGAUA
Pogonomyrmex barbatus (red harvester ant) is the source of this 2826-nucleotide long non-coding RNA. NCBI's taxonomy places the organism in Eukaryota, Metazoa, Arthropoda, Insecta, Hymenoptera, Formicidae. The record is from RefSeq and is a predicted model, not a curated record.